GAUGAACGCUGGCGGCGUGCCUAAUACAUGCAAGUCGAGCGAACAGACGAGGAGCUUGCUCCUCUGACGUUAGCGGCGGACGGGUGAGUAACACGUGGAUAACCUACCUAUAAGACUGGGAUAACUUCGGGAAACCGGAGCUAAUACCGGAUAAUAUAUUGAACCGCAUGGUUCAAUAGUGAAAGACGGUUUUGCUGUCACUUAUAGAUGGAUCCGCGCCGCAUUAGCUAGUUGGUAAGGUAACGGCUUACCAAGGCAACGAUGCGUAGCCGACCUGAGAGGGUGAUCGGCCACCCUGGACCUGGAACACGGUCCAGACUCCUACGGGAGGCAGCAGUAGGGAAUCUUCCGCAAUGGGCGAAAGCCUGACGGAGCAACGCGGCGUGAGUUAUGAAGGUCUUCGGAUCGUAAAACUCUGUUAUUAGGGAAGAACAAAUGUGUAAGUAACUAUGCACGUCUUGACGGUACCUAAUCAGAAAGCCACGGCUAACUACGUG
Molecule: ribosomal RNA, 497 nt
Filed under: uncultured bacterium
Lineage: Bacteria
Description: partial 16S ribosomal RNA
Rfam family: Bacterial small subunit ribosomal RNA
Source: RNAcentral